This 958-nucleotide long non-coding RNA is filed under the name Vigna radiata. RNAcentral describes it as "long non-coding RNA (VRAD_LNC014368)". Lineage: Eukaryota; Viridiplantae; Streptophyta; Magnoliopsida; Fabales; Fabaceae. The record is from RNAcentral.
AGAAUCUAGGUUGCCUCCUAGUAGCGCUUGUUUAACGUCACGAGCCUGACCCAAACCUGUUUAGCACUUGUCAGUAAGUGUCAUUCCUUCCAACACCCAUCACUAGGUGUACCUUCCCGUUAUCCUUCAGUGGAUUCAUAAAAAUUAGCAUCCCUCAGUAGAUGCUACCCAGAAAUUGUUCCAAAAAAUCACAUAAUUACAAGAUUAAAACUGAAAUAAACCUAAACUAAAAAAAAUAAAAUUGAUUUACAACAAUUGGGAUGGCCCCAACAAACACCCAUCAAUAGGUGUUAAAUUUCUUCUUGCUUGGUAUUCUCUUCUUCUUCUUCUUGCUGAAUUUCUUCAUAAAAUUGUGAACACCAAGCACAUGUUUCCAAGUUUGAAUAUAGGAACCUUAAUCUCCAAUUUCUUAAAGAUCUCCAUCUUAAAAUUCUUUCCCUUCCUAUGGUUUUUCUUUUUAUGAGGAGUGGGUUUUUUAUGUGAUCUUUUCUUCUUUCCCCUCUUCCUCUUUUUCUCAACCUUACCCCUCAACUUUCUCUUUUUCUCUUUUCUUCUUUUCUUCUUUAUUUUCGCAUAUUUUCUAUUUUUUUAUUUUUUCUUAACCACUGCUUAUUCUCCCUCAUCAUCUUUAUCUUCCUCAACCAAUUCUUCUAUUUCUUCUUCUUUUAAAUCUCUCUCUAUCUCCUCUUCCUCUAUCUUUUCCUCCUUGACAACCUUAUCGUUUUUAGAGAUAGUGGCUUGAUAUUCUUCUUCAGGGUUAACUUUAGUAUUAUCCCUAAUAAUGCCCAAAGACUUCAAUAUGCAAGACUGUUGUUCCUACAAUAUACGUUCUUCUGCUUCCCCCAACGUUUCUUUUAGCAAGGAGAAUAGUUUCUGCUGUAAAACUCGUUCAGCUUCUCCCAAUGUUUCUUUUGGCAUAGAGAAGAGUUCCUGCCAUAAACGUUGCUUAGCUUCCCCC